Molecule: ribosomal RNA, 56 nt
Filed under: Olea europaea subsp. cuspidata
Lineage: Eukaryota; Viridiplantae; Streptophyta; Magnoliopsida; Lamiales; Oleaceae
Description: partial 25S ribosomal RNA
Rfam family: 5.8S ribosomal RNA
About the family: 5.8S ribosomal RNA (5.8S rRNA) is a component of the large subunit of the eukaryotic ribosome.
Source: RNAcentral
UGACUCUCGAUAAUGGAUAUCUUGGCUCUCGUAUCGAUGAAAAAUGUAGCAAAAUG